AACGCUGGCGGCGUGCCUAAUACAUGCAAGUCGAACGCUUUGUCUUUAAUUGAUAUGAAGAGCUUGCUCUGAUUUGAUUUUAUCUGACAAAGAGUGGCGAACGGGUGAGUAACACGUGGGUAACCUACCUCUUAGCAGGGGAUAACAUUUGGAAACAAGUGCUAAUACCGUAUAAUACUAACAACCGCAUGGUUGUUAAUUGAAAGAUGGUUCUGCUAUCACUAAGAGAUGGACCCGCGGUGCAUUAGCUAGUUGGUAAGGUAAUGGCUUACCAAGGCGAUGAUGCGUAGCCGAGUUGAGAGACUGAUCGGCCACAAUGGGACUGAGACACGGCCCAUACUCCUACGGGAGGCAGCAGUAGGGAAUCUUCCACAAUGGGCGCAAGCCUGAUGGAGCAACGCCGCGUGUGUGAUGAAGGGUUUCGGCUCGUAAAACACUGUUAUAAGAGAAGAACGACAUUGAGAGUAACUGUUCAGUGUGUGACGGUAUCUUAUCAGAAAGGAACGGCUAAAUACGUGCCAGCAGCCGCGGUAAUACGUAUGUUCCAAGCGUUAUCCGGAUUUAUUGGGCGUAAAGCGAGCGCAGACGGUUAUUUAAGUCUGAAGUGAAAGCCCUCAGCUCAACUGAGGAAGGGCUUUGGAAACUGGAUAACUUGAGUGCAGUAGAGGAAAGUGGAACUCCAUGUGUAGCGGUGAAAUGCGUAGAUAUAUGGAAGAACACCGGUGGCGAAAGCGGCUUUCUGGACUGUAACUGACGUUGAGGCUCGAAAGUGUGGGUAGCAAACAGGAUUAGAUACCCUGGUAGUCC
This 807-nucleotide ribosomal RNA is filed under the name uncultured bacterium. RNAcentral's name for it is "bacterial SSU rRNA". It matches the Rfam family "Bacterial small subunit ribosomal RNA", at positions 32 to 796 of the family's 1533-position model. The record is from RNAcentral.